RNAcentral lists this ribosomal RNA (753 nucleotides) under uncultured archaeon. RNAcentral's name for it is "bacterial SSU rRNA". It matches the Rfam family "Archaeal small subunit ribosomal RNA", at positions 1 to 747 of the family's 1478-position model. The record is from RNAcentral.
UUCGCCCUUUUCCGGUUGAUCCUGCCGGAGGUUACUGCUAUCGGUGUUCGACUAAGCCAUGCGAGUCAAAUGUUCUUCGUGAACAUGGCGGACUGCUCAGUAACACGUGGAUAACCUGCCCUUAGGUUCGGCAUAACUCCGGGAAACUGGAGAUAAUUCCGAAUAGGUCAAAUAUGCUGGAACGCUUUUUGGCCAAAAGACCUCGGUUGCCUAAGGAUGGAUCUGCGGUCUAUCAGGUUGUAGUGGGUGUAACGUACCUACUAGCCUACGACGGAUAUGGGUUGUGAGAGCAAGAGCCCAGAGAUGGAUUCUGAGACAUGAAUCCAGGCCCUACGGGGCGCAGCAGGCGCGAAAACUUUACAAUGCGGGAAACCGCGAUAAGGGGACACCGAGUGCCAGCAUUUAUGUUGGCUGUCCACAUGUGUAAACGGCAUGUGUUAGCAAGGGCCGGGCAAGACCGGUGCCAGCCGCCGCGGUAACACCGGCGGCCCGAGUGGUAAUCACUUUUAUUGGGUCUAAAGGGUCCGUAGCCGGUUUGAUCAGUUCUUCGGGAAAUCUGACAGCUCAACUGUUAGGCUUCCGGGGAAUACUGUCAGACUUGGGACCGGGAGAGGUAAGAGGUACUACAGGGGUAGGAGUGAAAUCUUGUAAUCCCUGUGGGACCACCAGUGGCGAAGGCGUCUUACCAGAACGGGUCCGACGGUGAGGGACGAAAGCUGGGGGCACGAACCGGAUUAGAUACCCGGGUAGUCC